CUUCUAGGGGUACAUCUCAAUAGUAUGAUCUAAUAUCCUUCUAGGGGUACAUCUCAAUAGUAUGAUCUAAUAUCCUUCUAGGGGUACAUCUCAAUAGUAUGAUCUAAUAUCCUUCUAGGGGUACAUCUCAAUAGCGUGUCUAAUAUCCUUCUAGGGGUACAUCUCAAUAGUGUGUCUAAUAUCCUUCUCGGGGUAAAUCUCAAUAAUCUAGUCUAAUAUCCUUCUAGGGGUACAUCUCAAUAAUCUGGUAUGAUAUCCUUCUAGGGGUACAUCUCAAUAAUCUAGUCUAAUAUCCUUCUAGGGGUAAAUCUCAAUAAUCUAGUCUAAUAUCCUUCUAGGGGUAAAUCUCAAUAAUCUGGUCUAAUAUCCUUCUAGGGGUACAUCUCAAAAGUAUGAUCUAAUAUCCUUCUAGGGGUACAUCUCAAUAGUAUGAUCUAAUAUCCUUCUAGGGGUACAUCUCAAUAGUAUGAUCUAAUAUCCUUCUAGGGGUACAUCUCAAUAGUCGUGUCUAAUAUCCUUCUAGGGGUACAUCUCAAUAAUCUAGUCUAAUAUCCUUCUAGGGGUACAUCUCAAUAAUCUAGUCUAAUAUCCUUCUAGGGGUAAAUCUCAAUAAUCUAGUCUAAUAUCCUUCUAGGGGUACAUCUCAAUAAUCUAGUCUAAUAUCCUUCUAGGGCUACAUCUCAAUAAUCUAGUCUCAUAUCCUUCUAGCGGUACAUCUCAACAGUCUAGUUUUGUUUCCUCCCAGCGAUGCAUCUCAAUAGUUGAACUAGAAUACCAAAUUAAAAAUGUCACUUGCAGGUCCAUCUGACCCCAUCUAGUGGCAGCAUUAGUAUAACAGACGAAACAGUAAUGAGACUCACCCUUGACUACACUAGAGACUAUUGAGACUUACCCCUAGACUACACUAGAGAAUAAUGAGACUCACCCCUUGGCCACACUAGAGACUAUUGAGACUUACCCCUAGACUUCACUAGAGACUAUUGAGACUUACCCCUUGACUACGCUAGAGACUUUUGAGACUUACCCCUAUACUUCACUAGAGACUAUUGAGACCUACCCCUUGACUACAUGAGAGACUAAUGAGACUAAUCCCUAGACUACACUAGAGAAUAAUGAAACUCACCCCUUGACUAUACUAGAGACCAAUGAGACAAACCUCUAGACAAGACUAGACUACACUAGAGACUAUUGAGACUCACCCCUAGACUACACUAGACUAUUGAGACUCACCCCUAGAAUACACUAGACUAUUGAGACUCACCAAUAGAAUACACUAGAGACUAUUGAGACUCACCCCUAGACUAAACUAGAGAGAGUUGAGACUCACCACUAGAUGACACUAGAGACUAUUGAGACUCACCUCUCAACUACACUAGAGAGUGUGAGACUCACCCCUAGAAUAAACUAGAGACUGUUGAGACACCUUUAGACUACACUUUAGACUAAUGAGACUCAUCCCUAGACUAUACUAGAGACUAUUGAGACUCACCCCUAGACUACACUAAAC
Oncorhynchus tshawytscha (Chinook salmon) is the source of this 1507-nucleotide long non-coding RNA. The record is from Ensembl. NCBI's taxonomy places the organism in Eukaryota, Metazoa, Chordata, Actinopteri, Salmoniformes, Salmonidae.